Molecule: unclassified non-coding RNA, 80 nt
Filed under: Polaribacter sp. KT25b
Lineage: Bacteria; Pseudomonadati; Bacteroidota; Flavobacteriia; Flavobacteriales; Flavobacteriaceae
Description: Flavo-1 RNA
Source: RNAcentral
ACUUAGCCCUGAUUGAACGGUCUGUUUGAGCUCUUUUUUGUUUUUUACAAAAAAAGCGAGUAGUGAAAGCAGGAAAUAGC